This 469-nucleotide ribosomal RNA is filed under the name uncultured bacterium. RNAcentral describes it as "bacterial SSU rRNA". It matches the Rfam family "Bacterial small subunit ribosomal RNA", at positions 329 to 795 of the family's 1533-position model. The record is from RNAcentral.
UGCCAGACUCCUACGGGAGGCAGCAGUGAGGAAUAUUGGUCAAUGGGCGGGAGCCUGAACCAGCCAAGUCGCGUGAGGGAUGACGGCCCUAUGGGUUGUAAACCUCUUUUGCCGGGGAGCAAAGUGCCGCACGUGUGCGGUUUGGAGAGUACCCGGAGAAGAAGCAUCGGCUAACUCCGUGCCAGCAGCCGCGGUAAUACGGAGGAUGCGAGCGUUAUCCGGAUUUAUUGGGUUUAAAGGGUGCGUAGGCGGCGCUUCAGGUCAGCGGUGAAAUACCGGGGCUCAACCCCGGGGCUGCCGUUGAAACCGGAGCGCUAGAAUUCCGAUGCCGUCGGAGGAAUGUGUGGUGUAGCGGUGAAAUGCAUAGAUAUCACACAGAACACCGAUUGCGAAGGCAUCUGACGAAUCGGAGAUUGACGCUGAUGCACGAAAGCGUGGGUAUCGAACAGGAUUAGAUACCCGCGUAGUA